Long non-coding RNA from Astyanax mexicanus (Mexican tetra), 1843 nucleotides. RefSeq lists it as uncharacterized. The transcript has 3 exons. The record is from RefSeq and is a predicted model, not a curated record. Lineage: Eukaryota; Metazoa; Chordata; Actinopteri; Characiformes; Acestrorhamphidae.
GCAUUCUAGACGAUGCGAAAGUGUCUGUGAAGGUCAGGACUGCAGUUUCACAGUUCUUCACAUAUGUUCUGCACACAUAAUAAAACUCAUGUGCACUAAAGUAGCAAAAGUGAAGUGCUCAAAGUCAACCAAAAACUUGUUCCUGUACUCAUUUGCUCUGCUACAGAACUCAACAACAUUAGAAGAGGUACAUACAUUGAUGACAUACAUUUGUGAUGUUUUCUGCACAAAAGAGGAAAGCUUCUGUCAGGAGAGCCUUAAAGACCUUCAGAACAUGAUCAAGUCACAAGCUGUCCCUGUCAAUGUGGAGUCUGCACUGAAGACAACCAAAAAGUUGGAAGACGGAAACACCUUGGCAAACCCAUCCUCCAAAACAAUUGCUCAACAGUCUCCAUUUUCAAAGAUGUUCGAGUAUGUUUUCUUUGAAACAAAGGAAAGUAAAGAGCAAUGUGUUUCAGGUGCUCCAUCAAAUCCUCAUUGGUGUCCAGCUGUAGUGGACAUUCUGAAACCCUACAUGGCAAUCCUGCCACUCUGGACAGGUGUCAUGCUCAAGCAUUUAGGCCAGACAAGAGACACCAAUACUCAAGCUGAAAACUGGUUCCGUACCACAAAAAGAAUUGUCCUUCAUAAUCGACUUCACAGACGACCUGGUGACUUCCUGCAAGUUAUGCACGAGUUUGUUUCUGGCCGAAUGCGUGGUGUUAUCCUGACCAAAAUUCGGGGUAUGAAAAAGGAACCAAAUGAGAGUCUUCUAAGUGCACCAGGAAGUGUAGAAGAAAAAUGGCGCAAGAGAAAGACAAAAAAAAAAAAUCUAAAUACUACAAUCCACCAAAGGCCUGCUCAUCCAGCCCAACUACCAGCUACAGCUCCCCUCCAUGGUCAGGACAUGGCAACCUUGAACGUCAGGCAAUAAAAAUGGUCAAUACAUGUACAAUAGACAACCUUCUGUACAUACUUCACUUGAUCAUGAAAAAAAGAGUGUCCAUUCUAAAUGAGAUUGAACUGGCACAAUCAAAGGAUCACUGGCUCAAGACUUUACUAGAGGUUCAUCGACUAUUUUCGGCUAAAGAAUGGUUCCAGGGGAAAUUGGCAUGGCUGAAAAACUUUCCACGUUUGAAAGGAAAAUCUGUAUGGGACACUUUUGGCACUGAGAAUGACUUCAUUGUCAGUCGUCUCGAUUAUGUGCAGAAGACUGAGUGGAUUUUAAAAUGUGAUGCAAACGACUGUCCACUCCUUUCUCUCACAAAAACUGACAGGACUGUAGAUGUGUGGUGUGAAGACCUUUCAGAACUGCAGCACAGACUAGAUGAUUGGUCGUGUCCCAGGUCAAUGUCAUGUCAGAGAAAGAGGUAACGCCUUUUAGUAGCUGUUUAUGCACAGACAAAUAACAAGAAACUAAGAAAUUAUUAUGUAUGAAAACUACAUAUGUAGAAUUAUCUAACGUGUAUACAUUACAAUUGAAAUUGUAAGUUUAUAUAAACCCUAACACUAAUACAAUUUGUUAGCAGCAAAGCUAAGAUCUGCAAGGGGACCAGAACAUCCUCACCGCAACAAUUUGUGAAUGGUACACCAGCAUUCAUCAUGGUAGCCAUUGACUCAACAGUGCAGAGCACAAAUGAGCCAAAAAUGCAGCCAACAGCUUUGCCAUUAACCCUGCAGAUUCUUGGACAAAGCUAUGAAACUGCAGCAGUUACCUACCAUUUGAUGGACGCAAAUCAUUUUGUGUGCUUUCAUCGGCUCAGCACUGAAUCUGACUGGCACUUCUAUGAUGGCAUUGAGGAAAUGAAGAACCCCAGCUGUGGAGACAGACUUGCUACACCUGAAGUCUUUAAGACAGUCUUCU